This 936-nucleotide ribosomal RNA is filed under the name Vibrio sp. RNAcentral describes it as "bacterial SSU rRNA". It matches the Rfam family "Bacterial small subunit ribosomal RNA", at positions 533 to 1470 of the family's 1533-position model. The record is from RNAcentral. Lineage: Bacteria; Pseudomonadati; Pseudomonadota; Gammaproteobacteria; Vibrionales; Vibrionaceae.
AUCGGACGACGUAUCGGAUUACUGGGCGUAAGCGCAUGCAGGUGGUUUGUUAAGUCAGAUGUGAAAGCCCGGGGCUCAACCUCGGAAUAGCAUUUGAAACUGGCAGACUAGAGUACUGUAGAGGGGGGUAGAAUUUCAGGUGUAGCGGUGAAAUGCGUAGAGAUCUGAAGGAAUACCGGUGGCGAAGGCGGCCCCCUGGACAGAUACUGACACUCAGAUGCGAAAGCGUGGGGAGCAAACAGGAUUAGAUACCCUGGUAGUCCACGCCGUAAACGAUGUCUACUUGGAGGUUGUGGCCUUGAGCCGUGGCUUUCGGAGCUAACGCGUUAAGUAGACCGCCUGGGGAGUACGGUCGCAAGAUUAAAACUCAAAUGAAUUGACGGGGGCCCGCACAAGCGGUGGAGCAUGUGGUUUAAUUCGAUGCAACGCGAAGAACCUUACCUACUCUUGACAUCCAGAGAACUUUCCAGAGAUGGAUUGGUGCCUUCGGGAACUCUGAGACAGGUGCUGCAUGGCUGUCGUCAGCUCGUGUUGUGAAAUGUUGGGUUAAGUCCCGCAACGAGCGCAACCCUUAUCCUUGUUUGCCAGCGAGUAAUGUCGGGAACUCCAGGGAGACUGCCGGUGAUAAACCGGAGGAAGGUGGGGACGACGUCAAGUCAUCAUGGCCCUUACGAGUAGGGCUACACACGUGCUACAAUGGCGCAUACAGAGGGCGGCCAACUUGCGAGAGUGAGCGAAUCCCAAAAAGUGCGUCGUAGUCCGGAUUGGAGUCUGCAACUCGACUCCAUGAAGUCGGAAUCGCUAGUAAUCGUGGAUCAGAAUGCCACGGUGAAUACGUUCCCGGGCCUUGUACACACCGCCCGUCACACCAUGGGAGUGGGCUGCAAAAGAAGUAGGUAGUUUAACCUUCGGGGGACGCUACCACUUGUAUUGCCU